This is a long non-coding RNA of Pipistrellus kuhlii (Kuhl's pipistrelle), 1469 nucleotides long. RefSeq lists it as uncharacterized. NCBI's taxonomy places the organism in Eukaryota, Metazoa, Chordata, Mammalia, Chiroptera, Vespertilionidae. The transcript has 3 exons. The record is from RefSeq and is a predicted model, not a curated record.
GGCAAAGACAUUUUUGGUGCUGCAGAAUUUUAGUAAUUCGUUUGUGUGUACCAUGAGAUGAAAAAGGUUGAAAUUGCUGUGAUGACACUGUAGAUUAGAUGCUGACUCGGGUUUGGGCCCCUUUGGGUGGUGUGGUAUUAGCAGGGCUUCCUACAUGUUGUGCCAUGGCACAGUAUACAGCAGAAAGGUUCGAUUUGUGUCAUGUUAAUUCUCUAAGUCCAUGGACAGCCAGGUUGCAUUCUCUGUGCAUCUGGACCAUAAUGUGUGCCGUCACAUCUGAAUAGCACUGUGGGCACAAAUGAGGCUGAUGAUGGCAACUAGCUGAAAUUGUUUGGUACCACACAGUUCAUAGCACAUUUGGAGCUGUUGUCCUUGUGUAUGGCCCUUUGUUAAGAAGUAUCAUAUGUAUAUGGCCCUUUGCUAUUGAAAGUUGAUUUUGUCCCCCCUGUGGUCCUAAUAGAACGUUAAGCAUGCCAUUUAGAUGUUUCAUAAAGCCUGAGAAGGAAGCAAGGGCUUUUCUACUUGUUCUGUACUUUCCUUGUUGCUCUCAGACUGGUUAUAGACCAGGGAGGAGUUGAUCUUAAUUAGAUAGAGGAGUAAAGAAUAGAGUCAGUUGGUAUAAGAGGAAGAUAGAGUAACCUUAGAAAGUAUAGAGGAACUUAAAGUGGUUCUAGAUUCAUUUAAUUAUACCCACCUUCUUUUCCUGACUAUUUCUCACUGACAUUUAAUGUAUGACGUCUUCCAUUCCUUUUUAUUUUACAUGUCCAGCAGGAUCUAUUACUUGUGUCCUCUCAAGUGAAUGUUUAACAUUUCUUAAGUUGUAUAUAAAAGUAAGCAGGAUGGCUAUUAUAGUACAGUAGGGCAUAUUAGAGUCAGAUGGACUAAGUGUGAGCCCCAGCUCUCACUUGGAUAGUUUAUUUACCACUUAGAACCGCACUUUUCUCGUUGUAAAAUGUGGGUAAAUAUAUGGAAGCUGCACUGAAAAGCACUCUCGCCUUCCUUGGUAAAGUCGGGCAGUUCAUUCCACUCCUCAGAGCCUCAGUUUCUUCAUCUGUAAAAUGAGAUGGAUGUUCAGAUAGCAUGUCUUAAUUUCUAAACCUAGCCUUCUGUAAUGUAGUUAGGUAGCCAUGUCUUUUUCAAAGACAAAUAUAGGUGGUGAGGAUAACAACCAGGUGAUUUGCUCUAAUAAACAACCUAAUGGCUGCUGUUGUUAAAGAAAAUUUAUUCUGAUACAUUAAAAAUGGCAAGGAAGACUUUAUUCAAGACUAUUGCAAUAGAGUAGAGAGACUGAACUCAACUCUGAAUAUAAAACAAGUGGAAUUUAUAGCCAAUGGGCAGGGCAAGGAAGUGGAUGGAAAAUUACUAAGAGGAACUUGUUUGGGUAUCAUGGAUAGGGGAGGAAAAAGAGGCACUUGAGUAGAUAUUAAGGAUGAGAGAAGAGGAGUUUGAUUGGCUAUUAUUGUAGAAUG